AUUGAACGCUGGCGGCAGGCCUAACACAUGCAAGUCGAACGAGUGGCGGACGGGUGAGUAAUGUCUGGGAAACUGCCUGAUGGAGGGGGAUAACUACUGGAAACGGUAGCUAAUACCGCAUACCAUCGGAUGUGCCCAGAUGGGAUUAGCUAGUAGGUGGGGUAAAGCCUUACCUAGGCGACGAUCCCUAGCUGAUCUGAGACGAUGACCAGCCAUACUGGAACUUAGACCCGGUCCUGCCUCCUACGGGAGGCAGCAUUUGAGAAUAUUGCCCAAUGGGCGCAAGCCUGAUGCAUCCAUGCCGCGUGUAUGAAGAAGGCCUUCGGGUUGUAAAGUACUUUCAGCGGGGAGGCGUUACCCGCUGAAGAAGCACCGGCUAACUCCGUGCCAGCAGCCGCGGUAAUUC
RNAcentral lists this ribosomal RNA (406 nucleotides) under uncultured bacterium. RNAcentral's name for it is "partial 16S ribosomal RNA". It matches the Rfam family "Bacterial small subunit ribosomal RNA", at positions 30 to 526 of the family's 1533-position model. The record is from RNAcentral.